GACUGGUUUUCUGUUCAAAUUCGUCCUAAUUUGCCUGUUCCGAUUUUAGUUGAAAAUGAGCACUUGCAAAUUUGGCAAUUACUGACUGCGUUGCUUGCUUUUUGGAGUUAAAACGCUGCCAUUUACACAUUGCUUAUGUUCUGAAUAAGCAGAGAAAACCCCGCAACGUUUUAAUGCGAGUUUGUUUGUUAAUAUUUGGGUGCUGUCAUUGGUUCUUUUUUGACAAUUGACGCGCCAAAAGGGGGCGUGUUAUGAAAAGGGGCGUUUUACAAAAUACCGGGCCUUGCUUGCAGGCCCACUAUCAGUUCCCUUGGGCCUGCACGCGGGCUACGAUUGCGAUUAAUUCCAUUUCCAAGUAAUCCAAUAAGAAAACGAAAGGCGUAAUACAUACCAUACGAAAUGCUAAAGCACAAAAUUGAAUAUGUAUUUAAAAAUGAAGAGUUGCUUACUUAACAAAUGAAUAAUUACUUGCUAAGAUAUGUCGGACGACCCUUAAGACGAAUAUCACACCCAAAACUGCAUACAUAUGUUUUCGAUUACCAUAUGAAAUUCUCAAACAAAAAAAGGUAAAAAAUAUGUAAGUAAAGAUAAUAAGAUUGUUAAAAGUGUAAUUAAUUACUUAGUUGAAAUAAGUGGGACCUGCGUUGGGACCAAUAUUAGGAUCACCACCAUCAUCAAUUGGUGUCUGAACCACGCGGGUGCCAUACACAAUCAAAGAUUUCAUCAAACCAAACGCGUCAUCGAACCUGGAAAAUAGAGAUGAACACAUAUUAAAAAUUAAAAUAAAAACUAGGGAUCCAAGGAUAGUGUGAAGUUUCAAAUUGAAAAAGACACCGCAAGAACUAUAUAAGGUACCCGACAACCAAGAAAAGCUGAUGACUUACGCUACGAAAUAAAC
Non-coding RNA from Paramuricea clavata, 898 nucleotides. NCBI's taxonomy places the organism in Eukaryota, Metazoa, Cnidaria, Anthozoa, Malacalcyonacea, Plexauridae. The record is from the annotation of a GenBank genome assembly.